RNAcentral lists this ribosomal RNA (406 nucleotides) under uncultured bacterium. Its description in RNAcentral is "partial 16S ribosomal RNA". It matches the Rfam family "Bacterial small subunit ribosomal RNA", at positions 30 to 526 of the family's 1533-position model. The record is from RNAcentral.
AUUGAACGCUGGCGGCAGGCCUAACACAUGCAAGUCGAACGAGUGGCGGACGGGGGAGUAAUGUCUGGGAAACUGCCUGAUGGCGGGGGAUAACGACUGGAAACGGUAGCUAAAACCGCAUACCAUCAGAUGUGCUCAGAUGGGAUUAGCUAGUUGGUGGGGUAACGGGUCCCCAAGGCGACGAUCCCUAGCUGGUCUGCGAGGAUGACCAGCCACACUGGAACUGUGCCACUGUCCAUACUCCGACGGGAGGCAGCAGUGGGGAAUAUUGCACAAUGGGCGCAAGCCGGAUGCAGCCAUGCCGCGUGUAUGAAGAAGGCCUUCGGGUUGUAAAGUACUUUCAGCGGGGAGGCGUUACCCGCAGAAGAAGCACCGGCUAACUCCGUGCCAGCAGCCGCGGUAAUUC